RNAcentral lists this ribosomal RNA (253 nucleotides) under uncultured bacterium. Its description in RNAcentral is "partial 16S ribosomal RNA". It matches the Rfam family "Bacterial small subunit ribosomal RNA", at positions 524 to 776 of the family's 1533-position model. The record is from RNAcentral.
UACGAAGGGGGCUAGCGUUGCUCGGAAUUACUGGGCGUAAAGCGCACGUAGGCGGCUUGUUAAGUCAGAGGUGAAAUCCUGGAGCUCAACUCCAGAACUGCCUUUGAUACUGAGAAUCUUGAGUAUGGGAGAGGUGAGUGGAACUGCGAGUGUAGAGGUGAAAUUCGUAGAUAUUCGCAAGAACACCAGUGGCGAAGGCGGCUCACUGGCCCAUAACUGACGCUGAGGCACGAAAGCGUGGGGAGCAAACAGG